AUUCCUACGGGAGGCAGCAGUCGGGAAUAUUGCGCAAUGGAGGAAACUCUGACGCAGUGACGCCGCGUAUAGGAAGAAGGUUUUCGGAUUGUAAACUAUUGUCGAUAGGGAAGAAAAAUGACGGUACCUGAGUAAGAAGCACCGGCUAAAUACGUGCCAGCAGCCGCGGUAAUACGUAUGGUGCAAGCGUUAUCCGGAUUUACUGGGUGUAAAGGGAGCGCAGGCGGUGCGGCAAGUCUGAUGUGAAAGCCCGGGGCUCAACCCCGGGACUGCAUUGGAAACUACCGAACUAGAUGGUCGGAGAG
This 305-nucleotide ribosomal RNA is filed under the name uncultured bacterium. Its description in RNAcentral is "bacterial SSU rRNA". It matches the Rfam family "Bacterial small subunit ribosomal RNA", at positions 335 to 656 of the family's 1533-position model. The record is from RNAcentral.